CCUACGGGAGGCAGCAGUGAGGAAUAUUGGUCAAUGGGCGAGAGCCUGAACCAGCCAAGUCGCGUGAAGGAUGACGGCCCUACGGGUUGUAAACUUCUUUUGUCAGGGAGCAAUUGGGUCCACGCGUGGGCUUAGCGAGAGUACCUGAAGAAAAAGCAUCGGCUACCUCCGUGCCAGCAGCCGCGGUAAUACGGAGUAUGCGAGCGUUAUACGGAUUUAUUGGGUUUAAAGGGUGCUUAGGCGGAAUAUCAAGGCAGCGGUAAAAAGUCGGGGCUCAACCCCGUCGUGCCGUUGAAACUGAUGUUCUUGAGUGGUGUAGAAGGAUGCGGAAUGCGUGGUGUAGCGGUGAAAUGCAUAGAGAUCACGCAGAACUCCGAUUGCGAAGGCAGCAUACCGGCGACCAACUGACGCUGAAGCACGAAAGCGUGGGUAUCGAACAGGAUUAGAUACCCUUGUAGUC
This 460-nucleotide ribosomal RNA is filed under the name uncultured bacterium. Its description in RNAcentral is "partial 16S ribosomal RNA". It matches the Rfam family "Bacterial small subunit ribosomal RNA", at positions 338 to 795 of the family's 1533-position model. The record is from RNAcentral.